RNAcentral lists this long non-coding RNA (1080 nucleotides) under Vulpes vulpes (red fox). RNAcentral describes it as "lncRNA (ENSVVUG00000022155.1)". Lineage: Eukaryota; Metazoa; Chordata; Mammalia; Carnivora; Canidae. The record is from RNAcentral.
CUCACAUACAUGUUUCCCCGAAUAAAAUCCUGCAUGUUUCAUCCCACCUUGGCACCUUCUCCUCAGAAAAUCCAGACUGACACACUUUCCCCUCUUCCCUAUUUAUGUUUCCUAGAAUCACCUUCUCAAAGAAACAACCUGCACUGGAAUCUCGCUGUCAGCGUUUAUUUCUAGGGAAGCCAGGCUAACACAGAGGGCAGGACAGAAAAACUGCACACACCACUUGCACUCAUCCCUCCUGGGGCUGAAUCUGGUCACAGGGCCACACUGAACAAGGGAGGCGGGCCACACAGUGAUCUGUGAUGGGCCAUGCAAGGGGGCCCUGCUGACAGUGUGGCUACUCCUCCUUACUCAGCCUUUCAAGAUCUGUUCAAAUACCUGCAAGGUCAAGGUUCUGGAGCAGGAUGUAGAGAGAUAGAGUCCUUUGACAAGUCUGUGCAGGUAUAAAUUAAUCAAAAUCGACCCAAAUUUAACUUUAUAUCAUAAUUACUACUGUCUGCCCCCAGGCAAAGUAAAGUGUGUAAAACUCAUCCCCUGGACAUAGCCCACCCCUGGAACCAUGGCCCCUUCUUUCCCUUCCAAAUUCCCUCCAGAGUUCCAGCUGCCCAGAGCCCCUAUUAUGAUGCCCACCCCCGUUGCCCCAGGCAUUGACUCACCAACCCAAGUUCCUCUUCCUUGCCUUAAAACACACCUGUCCCAUUCCCCAAGGCUUUGCGCACUAACAAUGUGACAGCCUGGUGUGCAGUUGCCACAUGUCUGGAGUGGCUGCCGUGUGACAGCGUGGGCCCUGAUUUUACGGACGGCAUUCAGACAGAAAGUGUGUGUCCUGAGCUGAGAGCUUUACCACGGAGCGACUCUGCGCUUCCUACAGGAGGCUGCACAGGCCACAGAGGUACCGGAGGUGACUUGGGGUGGAACGUGAAUCCUAAUACAGUACCAAAGUCAGAGGUGUCUGAGGAAGUUCACUCUUUGGCAGACUCUAAUAUCACAGCAGCAAAGUACUGCAGGAUGGGUGAGCCCAGUGUCCUAAUAAAACUGUAUUUAUUAAAACAGGCAGACAGCCUUGAGGCCAUACUUUGA